CCCUUAGAUGUUCUGGGCUGCACGCGUGCUACAAUGGCGUUUCCAGCAAGUCUGCGAACCCGAGAGGGCCAGCGGAUCUUCGAAUUGGCGUCGUGAUCGGGACAGUCGAUUGCAAUUAUUUGACUCAAACGAGGAAUUCCUUGUAAUCGCGAUUCAUCAUAACGCGCUGAAUACGUCCCUGCCCUUUGUACACACCGCCCGUCGCUCCUACCGAUUGAGCGAUCCGGUAAAUGUUUUGGAUUGGUGCCGGGGCGGCUAGCUGCCGGUCGCUACGAAAUUUUGUGAACCUUAUCGCUUAGAGGAAGGAAAAGUCGUAACA
This 319-nucleotide ribosomal RNA is filed under the name uncultured eukaryote. RNAcentral's name for it is "partial 18S ribosomal RNA". It matches the Rfam family "Eukaryotic small subunit ribosomal RNA", at positions 1470 to 1796 of the family's 1831-position model. The record is from RNAcentral.